UACGUAGGGGCCUAGCGUUGUCCGGAUUUAUUGGGCGUAAAGAGCGUGUAGGCGGUUUGGUAGGUCCGCUGUGAAAACUCGAGGCUCAACCUCGAGACGCCGGUGGAAACCAUCAGACUAGAGUCCGGAAGAGGAGAGUGGAAUUCCUGGUGUAGCGGUGAAAUGCGCAGAUAUCAGGAAGAACACCCGUGGCUAAGGCGGCUCUCUAGUACGGUACUGACGCUGAGACGCGAAAGCGUGGGGAGCGAACAGG
This 253-nucleotide ribosomal RNA is filed under the name uncultured bacterium. RNAcentral's name for it is "partial 16S ribosomal RNA". It matches the Rfam family "Bacterial small subunit ribosomal RNA", at positions 524 to 776 of the family's 1533-position model. The record is from RNAcentral.